Molecule: ribosomal RNA, 405 nt
Filed under: uncultured bacterium
Lineage: Bacteria
Description: partial 16S ribosomal RNA
Rfam family: Bacterial small subunit ribosomal RNA
Source: RNAcentral
GACGAACGCUGGCGGCGUGCUUAACACAUGCAAGUCGAGCGGAGCGGCGAACGGGUGAGUAACGCGGGAAUAACUGCCCCCCUCUCUGGGAUAACAGUUGGAAACGGCUGCCAAUACUGGAUAGUGGGGGAUGACUCGCGUCCGAUGAGCUUGUUGGUGGGGUAGUGGCCGACCAAGGCGACGACGGGUAGCCGGCCUGAUAGGGCGACCGGCCACAUUGGGCUGAGAUAGGGCCCAAUCUCCUACGGGAGGCAGCCGGGGGGAAUAUUGCACAAUGGGGGAAACCCUGAUGCAGAAACGCCGCGUGCGGGAUGACGGCCUUCGUGUUGUAAACCGCUUUCAGCCAUGACGCGGUAGUGGCAGAAGAAGCACCGGCUAACUACGUGCCAGCAGCCGCGGUAAUAC